CGUGGGUAACCUGCCCAAGAGAUCGGGAUAACACCUGGAAACUAGAUGCUAAUACCGGAUAACAACAGAUGAUGCCUAUCAACUGUUUAAAAGAUGGUUCUGCUAUCACUCUUGGAUGGACCUGCGGUGCAUUAGCUAGUUGGUAGGGUAACGGCCUACCAAGGCGAUGAUGCAUAGCCGAGUUGAGAGACUGAUCGGCCACAUUGGGACUGAGACACGGCCCAAACUCCUACGGGAGGCAGCAGUA
Molecule: ribosomal RNA, 247 nt
Filed under: uncultured Lactobacillus sp.
Lineage: Bacteria; Bacillati; Bacillota; Bacilli; Lactobacillales; Lactobacillaceae
Description: partial 16S ribosomal RNA
Rfam family: Bacterial small subunit ribosomal RNA
Source: RNAcentral